This 73-nucleotide transfer RNA is filed under the name Methanomassiliicoccales archaeon. Its description in RNAcentral is "tRNA-Gln". It matches the Rfam family "tRNA". From Rfam's summary of the family: Transfer RNA (tRNA) molecules are approximately 80 nucleotides in length. The record is from RNAcentral. Lineage: Archaea; Methanobacteriati; Thermoplasmatota; Thermoplasmata; Methanomassiliicoccales.
AGCCCCGUAGUGUAGUGGUCAAUCAUCCCGGACUUUGGAUCCGGUGACGGCAGUUCGAAUCUGCCCGGGGCUA